Molecule: RNA transcript, 6105 nt
Organism: Frankliniella occidentalis (western flower thrips)
Lineage: Eukaryota; Metazoa; Arthropoda; Insecta; Thysanoptera; Thripidae
Gene name: protein bassoon-like
Exons: 2
Source: RefSeq, a predicted model, not a curated record
GUUUUGCUUGUCAGUUGCCAACAGUUGAACUGAAGAUUAAAUUCGUUCGCAUUAUUGUUUUAUUUAGUUUCCAAUUACAUAGAGAAAGAAAAAUCAUCCAUGCUGCUCGUAUUCUCAUGAUUAUAAUAACCUGUUGGGCUUUCUGGAUUUCAGUUCCAUUUUGUUCAAAUCGGGGAGGUUGUGCUGAUAAUAAGAGUAUGACUGUUUGUUGAGGCUGGUUCGACUCCCUUUUCUCCUGGCAGAGAAUUAUGCGGUUCUCAUACAGUACACUCUUCUGACCUGACUAUACGGAGUGUGCUACUGGUCUAUUCCUGAAAAACUCUUAGCAAGAAUUUUAUUUCGUUAUCCGACUUUUCCCCUCUUGACCAUACGCGCGGGUGUUCAAAGUUCCGGGAGAUUGCGAGAGCGAGGUGAAAGCGGCAGUGGGAAGGGAAGGCGAGAGGAAGGGGAACGGGGAGGGUCUGUAAGUCCUCGGCGUGCUGCGGCUCCAUGGACAAUUGAUCCUAAUUUAUUUUCUGGGAGCUAUGGCAUUGGUCUACGAUGUUCCCUCUGCGGCGGCGGCAAGCCGAGCCGAGCCGGCCAGUGUGGGCCGGGGGUGCAGCCGUUGCAGCCAGCAGCCGCGCCGCCGCCGCCCACCGUGGAGGGCCGGUGCUUGGUGACCGGGGUCAGCCGCGCCAGCCGCGCGGGACCAACCGCUGCUUUACGGUUUUUUGUUGGCUGUGCAUCGCGGCAAUGCCGGUUGAUGGAAUGCGUCCAUGGCCACGAGUCACGAUGUACGAGUCGAGCCGGGCCGCGCCACGGCAGGGCCCGGCGGGGCCGAGCCGAGCCGAGCCGGGGCGGCCUGUGCUUUAGCCGCGGUGUGCUCCUCUUCUUGUCGUCCGUGUGCGCGGGGCGGGCGGGGCGGCGGGGCGGCGCGGGGCCACUAUCGCACCUCACACAUGCGCCCUAGGCGGGCCUGCCUGGCCGCAUUCCCCCGCCGCGGCUGCCGCGGCUCGGGCGCGUCCUCUGCCGGCUUACACUUGGGGGGCGCCCCGGUUACACCCGGCGCUUAUGGCUGGCAGAGUCCCGGCAGAGCCUUUGGGGGGCCGCGGCCGCGGCGAGCAGCAGCGGGGCCCCGCGCCAGGUGGGCCGCCCGCCCCGUCGGCCUGUCUUUGAAAUGAGUGGGAGAGAGACAAACGAGGCCUCCGACCCGUCCGUCUGAGCCGUCUCAGCAGUUGGGCCCCCUUCACUCCCCCCCCCCUCCCCCCGGCGAGCCGCGGGGCCGCGGGGGGAACUGGUUCAGUCAGCGCGUUGCUUUGCCUAUCACGUCUCUCUCUCACUCUCGUUUCGCGAAGACCAGCGACGCGUGGGCGCCGAGGGCCAGCGAGGGGGCUGACGACGGCCCUGCGGCUCCACCACCCCGGGGUUGCAGGGAUGUGGGUGUAGCAUUUCGGCGUGUCGGCGUUUCCGGGGGGGACGGCGGCUGUGGCCUCAGCAGCUGAUGCUGCGGGCCGCUCGGCGGGGGCGGCGCGGGGCGGCGCAGUCGUGCCUUCCCUAUGCCCAGCAACAGCAGCAGCGCGACGCCCUGCCAUCACAUUUCUCUACACAUUGGCAGAAAUCUUUUGCUGGUUGUGGACGGGAGAUCGGCUUCACUUCCGCGUGGGUGGCGGCCGUUGUUAGGGUCGCGCCGUCUCGUCUCUCGACCACGGUAGCUGGCUGCGAAAACGGUUGUGUCGAAGGACGGGGCGCGUCAUGUACUACAAGACAAUGGUAUGCGAGUAGGCGCAUAACUGCUGUGUGCUUGUUUUGCUGGCCACCGUCAAAAUGGUGUGCUCAAAACACGCCUUGUCACACUCGUUCGAAAGUUAGAGGCGCGCACUCGGGCGAAACUGGGGUGACCAUAUUGCAGAAGCCUUUCGUAUUUUGUGUUGUAUUGCUUUGACUUGUCCGACAGUGUGCGGUCGCUCUGAGCGGGUGGUGUGGGAGACUGCACAUGUGGGUAGUAUACGGGACUGGCGGCCGGCGGCGGCUGCAGGGAGGCAUUCUUCUUCCCCUCGCGCUUCGCGGCUGCGAGGAAUUCCCCCAUGAUGCGUGGGCGUGCCGGCCGUGCCGGCGGCGCGCCUGCCCGGCCUGCCUGGGCCUGCCUCCGCUGCACGUGCAGGUUGCAUUCCGCCUGCAGCAGGCGCCGGACCGGCGGGCCGUGCGUGCGUGUGCGUGUGUGUGUGUGUGACUGCCACAUAUUGGAAUGCUCUGCUGGGCCGAACGGGACCCGUCAUACUGUGGGCCCCGAGGCCCAGCCCAGCCCCGGCCCACCACUUCGGAUGAUCGCUUGGAAAUGGGAAAGAAAAAUUCCCUCCUCGUGCUGCUGCUGCUGCUGCUGCUGGCUGCUCGUAUCGGGGAUAAAGAUCGGGACGAGAGCGACAUUCCAUUGACUAAUGCAGCCCGGGGCUGCGUGCGAGGCGGGCGCGACUGCUGCAGCCGCAGCCCGGCCGAGAGAGCGAGUGCCCCAAUGAGAGAAAGAGAGAGAGGGGGAGAGGGAGAGGCAGGGAGGGAGAGUGAGUGAAUGCUGCGUGAUGGAGCCGCCGGGCCGACCUGGCCGUUAUAUGAAUGGGCCGUGGCGUGCCGCAAACGUACUCUUCGCCCCGCUCCGCCCCGCCGCGCCACGCCGCGAGGCGCAGCAGUGUCCGGAGAGUACAACACGCUUUGGUGGGCCGCGGCCGUCAUCCGGCCGAGGCAGCCGAGGCGAGGGGAGGACCCGCGCCUCGAGACGCGGCUGUGGCUUGGCUUGGCGGCGGCGCGAGAUUGGAAUGGCGGGGCGGCGCGGAGCCUCGUGAUGAAUUUAAAAACGCCGCGGGGCGGCAGCGGCCCGGCCCUCCCGGCGGCGUCGCUGUCGCGCCUCGCAUCUCUUGCUCCGCGCGCCGCAAGCCCCAUCCGCCCCAUCCGCUCGCGGAUAUCCGGUGCCGGUGACGGCGUUGGUGUCUGUCCACCUGUCCGCCAGGUGUAGGCGUGUUGUAGCAGGGGCGGCGGUGGUGUCGCGCGCGCCAGCAGGGCGAUUCCGCACAGCGCUUUCGUACCUCCGUCCUUGUCGCACUCACUGGACACCGCCACUGGGUGGGAGUGAGAGGGCACGAGAAAACGCUGUGCGGAAUCGCCUAGCAGCAGCAGCGCCAGCAGGCCACCACCGGGGCGACCGGGCGGGCACAAACGCCCCAAGGUGUGCGAGCGCGCGGCUCGUGUCGCCGCGCGCCGCCACGCCGCCGCCGCACCGUAUUUUUAGCGGAAUGUUGGGGUGACAAAUUAUCGAGUGCCUUUGGCGUGCACUGUGUGUGUGUGUGUGUGUGUGUGUGUGCGGGCAUGCGAGAGCGAGAUGUGCGCGAGCAGGCAGAGGCAGCCGAUGUGGGGCUGAUUCACCCCGCGCACUUCUGUAGUUGUACUGUACCUCACGCACGAGUGGCGGGCGAGCUUGCCUAUCACCCCUGUCCACGGCGCCUUUACGGACCGUGUGAGUAUAUAGGCAACCCGUCCGCACGUAGGAAUGCGGUACAGCAUAACUACAGAAGUGCGCGGGGUUAAUCAGCCACCUACUACUGAUUCCGCAGACGUCUGACAGAGCUGCGCUGCGAAUGCGAUCUUCUGAAUCAGUUGGCGCAGCGCAAGCAGCAGCGACCGCGUGUCACAGAUGCGCAGGUGGCCGCGCGCACUCGCUCGGUUUUGUUCGGCACGUUAUCAUUUUGCCGGCUGCUCCAUUAGUGGAUGGACCCGCCCUUCCCUGUCCGGCUCAGGUCCGGCCCGCCGCCGCUAUCGCCCGCGCAGAAAUACAACAAACGCACCAGGGCCGGGCUGAUCGGAAUGAGACACGAGUGCGCUAUCUGCUCUGCUGCUGCCGGCCGCACGCGUCUCGGCCGCCCCCGUAUACGGCGGCGGCGUGGCGGUCUGGGCCUCGGUCCUGCUCUCUGCCCUCCUGUUCGUCCUCUCACUGCCUCUCUCCUCCUCUCUUAUCCUCCUCUCCUCCAGGUUCUUGCUCCCGCGCUACAUCCUGCCUGGCGUGCAGCUCGUGUGCUCUGGAGCCCCUUCCCCCUCAUCCCCCUUCUCCUCCUCCCCGUUUGCCGUGCAGCCUUCGUGCAGCACUUCUCAAUGGAAUGCCGGCCAUGGAGGAAUUUUAUCUUCCCGCCGCGCUCGGCCGCCGCCGUGAUCAGAGUGGAGGAGGAGGAGGAGGAGUCUUGGACCAGCUUUGCGCUGCUGCUCCCCACCACCGCAGUUUGGAUCGACCGCCGAAAAUUGUUUCUUGGCUUUCGGAGCGUCGAACGACUCGAAUAAAAGAGCGCAGGCAGAGAAUUGCCCCGACGGACGCUGGGGCUGCGCGCUGCGCAGGCGCACGGGGGUCUGCUGGCUGGGCUGCUAUCCCUUUCCCUUUGAUGGUGAUGCGUGCGGCGCGGCGGGGAAGGCCCUGCGGCUGCCGGGGCCGGGCCCGGGGCCUCGUCACGGCUGAUCGGGGCCCGCCCGGCCACCUCCGGCCGGCCCGGCCCGCGGCCCCGCCGUGAUGUAAUGCGUGAUGUCAGGCGGAGGUGUCGAUGAGCGGCGCCUCUCUGCUGCUGCCGCAUUCCUCCACGGCUCCACCGCGACGACGCGACGACGCGACAGCGGCCCUCGAGGCCUGUCCUUACAGCGGCCCCUGACCUCCUGAGCUGAGAGCCCCCCUCCCAGCCUCCCAGUUUGGUCCAGCCGCCGCCGCCGGCCGCCGCCUCGCUUCCUGUCCAGGGGCUCAUUCAUGGCGGCCGCUGCUGGGCACUUGGGGGCCCGGCUUGGAGGAAAUGGCCGUCACUCGGUCCGACAGUGCGGCGGGGCCGGGCCGGGCCCCCAGACGGCCGCCGCUGGAAGGCGCCCAAGACCGUGGCGAAGGCCGGGCCGGGCGACGCGAGCCAGCAGCGGGGCGUGGCGCAGCGCAGCGUAGCGCGUGGCCAAAUAGAUGGCAUUUUUGCGGACGCACUCAUGCCGGUGUGCGGGCCCGCACGUUAGUCACCCUGGCGGGCGCGGCCGCGGGGGCCGCGGGCUGUGGUGGUGGUGGCGGUGGCGGCCGCGUGUGUCGUGUGGUGUGGUGUCUGCUCGGGUGACCUCGGCGUGCCGCUGCGCGGGGUCGCACCGGGUCACACCCUCGUGACGACGCGGUGUGGCGGGCGGAAUCUAUGGGCUGGGCCCGUGUGUUGGAGGAUGAUAGGCCGCGUGACGACGUAAGCGUAGCAUACCCGCUUAGCUACUAAUAGCUGGGGGGAAAGGGGCGGGGGAUGCUUAUACGGCCUGCUAAGGCGCUUCCUCGGGCAAUAAUAGACUGAUCAGACUAGAGCCGUGGAGAUAAACGGCCCAGUUCGUCAACGACUGCGACUGGCUCUGCCCCCUCCCCCGUGGUUAUCCCCUCAUUACCCUCUGCUCCCCCUUCGCCUCGUUACCCUCUCGUGGCCCCGGUGCCCUGCCAUUGCGCGGCCCCCCUCACCCCCCUCCUCACCCCUCUCGCCAGCCCGCUCUGUGCCCGUGUGCACCCGUCUGACCACUGCAGGAAUGCUUACAAUGCGGCUGAGGAGGCUGCCCGCGGAGGGGCGGGGCGUGGCGGGGCGCCCGCUAAGCGAUGUGAUGCGAUGCUACGCCGUACCGCCCCACCUCCGCCCGCCCGCCGGUUCGUUUCGUUUCGUUUCGUAUGGUUGAGUUCAGUCCGCCGGACGCCGGCACCCCGCGCGCACCACACACCGCCGCUCUCCCGCCGCGCUCGCGCCGCUGCUCACCGGCUGCCGCUUGGGCCCCACCACGCCGCGCCCCGCCCCGCGCCCCGAUCCGCUCCCCGCGCCCGCACCCACUUCAGUCGAGCCCCGCUCUUGCGCCCCCCGUGCGUUUGUCUAUGAGUGCGGCCAUGUGCGUCGGGGGAGUGCUGUGCAACUGGCACCUCACCGGGUGCUCCCUCUGGCAGCCCUGGGUGGAGGGACAACAGCAGCAACAAGAGGAGGCCCGCAAGUCACUUCCGUCCGUGAGGUGGAGGAGGGACCGCCGGGCUCGCGACUCGCUGCCAGACUACGCGACGGCCAAGGCGACCGCGGUCGGCGGCCAGCAGCAGCAGCAGUGCGGCCAGCAGGGCGGCCA